ACCCGCUGAACUUAAGCAUAUCAAUAAGCGGAGGAAAAGAAACUAACAAGGAUUCCCCUAGUAACUGCGAGUGAAGCGGGAACAGCUCAAAUUUGAAAUCUCCAGGGUCCCCCUGGCGAAUUGUAGUUUAGAGAAGCGUUUUCGGAGACAGUCUUGGUUCAAGUCCCUUGGAACAGGGUGUCAUAGAGGGUGAGAACCCCGUUAAACCUUGACUCGUCUUCAUGUGAUACGCUUUCCAAGAGUCGGGUUGUUUGGGAUUGCAGCCCAAAAUGGGAGGUAAAUUUCUUCUAAAGCUAAAUACUGGCGAGAGACCGAUAGCGAACAAGUACCGUGAGGGAAAGAUGAAAAGAACUUUGAAAAGAGAGUUAAAUAGUACGUGAAAUUGUCAAAAGGGAACGGUUUGAAACCAGUCAUGCUGUCUGGUAUUCAGCAGGUCACCCCGACCUGUGCUCUUACCAGAUGGCAGGUCAACGUCAGUUUUCUUCGCAGUGAAAAGCCAGGUGGAGGUAGCUUGACUUCGGUUGAGUGUUAUAACUCUUGGUUCUGCUGUGUGGGAAGACUGAGGACUGCAGGGCGCACUGGGCUACCCGAGUAAGUCAAAGCUUUUCAGCAGACUGCAUGCAGGCUGUUGGAAAGUCGUAGCUUUUCUUGGUUCUGUCUCUACGUUCCCUUAGGACGUUGACGAAAUGGUUUCAAACCACCCGUCUUGAAACACGG
RNAcentral lists this ribosomal RNA (717 nucleotides) under uncultured Oomycota. Its description in RNAcentral is "LSU rRNA". It matches the Rfam family "Eukaryotic large subunit ribosomal RNA", at positions 23 to 664 of the family's 3401-position model. The record is from RNAcentral. Lineage: Eukaryota; Oomycota.